RNAcentral lists this ribosomal RNA (328 nucleotides) under uncultured eukaryote. RNAcentral's name for it is "partial 18S ribosomal RNA". It matches the Rfam family "Eukaryotic small subunit ribosomal RNA", at positions 1470 to 1796 of the family's 1831-position model. The record is from RNAcentral.
CCCUUAGAUGUUCUGGGCCGCACGCGCGCUACACUGAAUGGAUCAACGUGUUUUCCCUUCCCGAGAGGGACGGGUAACCCGCUGAACCCCAUUCGUGGUAGGGAUCGGAGCUUGCAAUUGUUCUCCGUGAACCAGGAAUUCCCAGUAAGCGCAAGUCAUAAGCUUGCGUUGAUUACGUCCCUGCCCUUUGUACACACCGCCCGUCGCUCCUACCGAUUGAAUGGUCCGGUGAAAAUUUCGGAUACCGGCAUUGCUGGCGGUUCGCCGCCGGCGACGCUGGUAGAAGAUCUUUAAACCUUAUCAUUUAGAGGAAGGAGAANUCGUAACA